GAGGACAGGUUGAAAGUAAUUUUCAACAAUUAACUGUCACUUUCACUCAGAAUCAGAUUUCCAAUCUCUGGAGGGAAUUCAUGACUUCGUAUUUAGUCACUUAGACUCUUGAAGGCUCACUCAAAGAAAGAGCAAUGUAAUACUAUAGACUGAACAGCUUUAAGAUGCAAAACAAUACAAAAACUCCCCCAAACCAAACCUGACCAGCCACAAAUUAAAAUGCAGGCAAAACAGAAACAUAUCUAUUUGCAUCCUACUCAAAAGGUGGCAAUUUCAAUACUUUUAACUUCUAAAACAACCCUCAUUCAUCUGACCAAAGACAAAAGUAGGAGGCUCUUGUGAGUUCAUUUUGAUUUUUAUUACACACCACAGAUAUGUACACUAACCAGAGAGUAGGAUGCUUCUUUGUACUCUCAAAAUCACAGGAAAUGUAUUUCUACCUACCCUCUUUUUUGCAAUACUUUAGUGGCAUUUCAGACUACCAUCUUGGAACUGGUUUAGGGCCAAGUAAAGGAAAUCAUGGAAGGCAAUAUAUAUAGCACAAUCAUGAGCUAUUUUUGGAAGCUAGUAGUAUCUACUACUUCUAUAGCAGUAGAAGCUAGUAGCUAGUAGUUAUUCUCAGGCAGACUGAGAGUAACAAGGCUG
This 645-nucleotide long non-coding RNA is filed under the name Bos taurus (domestic cattle). RNAcentral's name for it is "long non-coding RNA NONBTAT023671". Lineage: Eukaryota; Metazoa; Chordata; Mammalia; Artiodactyla; Bovidae. The record is from RNAcentral.